UUAAACAUGAGAGUUUGAUCCUGGCUCAGGAUGAACGCUGGCGGCGUGCCUAACACAUGCAAGUCGAACGAAGCAAUUAAGAUGAAGUUUUCGGAUGGAAUCUUGAUUGACUGAGUGGCGGACGGGUGAGUAACGCGUGGAUAACCUGCCUCACACUGGGGGAUAACAGUUAGAAAUGACUGCUAAUACCGCAUAAGCGCACAGUGCCGCAUGGCAGUGUGUGAAAAACUCCGGUGGUGUGAGAUGGAUCCGCGUCUGAUUAGCCAGUUGGCGGGGUAACGGCCCACCAAAGCGACGAUCAGUAGCCGACCUGAGAGGGUGACCGGCCACAUUGGGACUGAGACACGGCCCAAACUCCUACGGGAGGCAGCAGUGGGGAAUAUUGCACAAUGGGCGAAAGCCUGAUGCAGCGACGCCGCGUGAGUGAAGAAGUAUUUCGGUAUGUAAAGCUCUAUCAGCAGGGAAGAAAAUGACGGUACCUGACUAAGAAGCCCCGGCUAACUACGUGCCAGCAGCCGCGGUAAUACGUAGG
RNAcentral lists this ribosomal RNA (532 nucleotides) under Enterocloster clostridioformis. Its description in RNAcentral is "bacterial SSU rRNA". It matches the Rfam family "Bacterial small subunit ribosomal RNA", at positions 1 to 531 of the family's 1533-position model. The record is from RNAcentral. Lineage: Bacteria; Bacillati; Bacillota; Clostridia; Lachnospirales; Lachnospiraceae.